AAGGGUAUAGCUCAGGGGUAGAGUGCAUGUUUAGCAUACACCAGGUCCUAGGUUCAACCCCGAGUACCUCUG
RNAcentral lists this transfer RNA (72 nucleotides) under Camelus bactrianus (Bactrian camel). It matches the Rfam family "tRNA". From Rfam's summary of the family: Transfer RNA (tRNA) molecules are approximately 80 nucleotides in length. Their secondary structure includes four short double-helical elements and three loops (D, anti-codon, and T loops). Lineage: Eukaryota; Metazoa; Chordata; Mammalia; Artiodactyla; Camelidae. RNAcentral also lists the same sequence under 1 other name. The record is from Rfam by way of RNAcentral.